GACGAACGCUGGCGGCGUGCCUAACACAUGCAAGUCGAGCGGGGCGACCGGAGGCGGUAGAGAUACCGAGGAAGGGCGCCUAGCGGCGAACGGGUGAGUAACGCGUGGGCAAUCUGCCCCCGGGAGCGGGAUAACAGACCGAAAGGCCUGCUAAUACCGCAUGAAGCCGUCAUAUCACAUGGUAAGACGGUAAAAGGGGAAACCCGCCUGGGGGAGGAGCCCGCGUCCCAUUAGCUAGUUGGUGGUGUAACGGACCACCAAGGCGAUGAUGGGUAGCCGGCCUGAGAGGGUGAACGGCCACAUUGGGACUGAGACACGGCCCAGACUCCUACGGGGGGCAGCAGUGAGGGAUUUUCGGCAAUGGGCGAAAGCCUGACCGAGCGACGCCGCGUGAGCGAAGAAGGCCUUCGGGUCGUAAAGCUCUGUCUAGGGGAAGAGAAAGGACGGUACUCCUGGAGGAAGCCACGGCUAACUACGUG
Molecule: ribosomal RNA, 479 nt
Filed under: uncultured bacterium
Lineage: Bacteria
Description: bacterial SSU rRNA
Rfam family: Bacterial small subunit ribosomal RNA
Source: RNAcentral